This 407-nucleotide ribosomal RNA is filed under the name uncultured bacterium. Its description in RNAcentral is "partial 16S ribosomal RNA". It matches the Rfam family "Bacterial small subunit ribosomal RNA", at positions 28 to 526 of the family's 1533-position model. The record is from RNAcentral.
GACGAACGCUGGCGGCGUGCCUAAUACAUGCAAGUAGAACGCAGUUGCGAACGGGUGAGUAACGCGUCGGUAACUGCCUCAUAGCGGGGGAUAACUAUUGGAAACGAUAGCUAAUACCGCAUACUGUGAGAUGGACCUGCGUUGUAUUAGCUAGUUGGUGGGGUAAAGGCUCACCAAGGCGACGAUACAUAGCCGACCUGCGAGGGGUGUAGGCCAAACCGGGAAUGAGAAACCGCCCAGAAUCCCACUGGUGGGAAGCGUAGGGAAACUUUGGAAAUGGAGCGCAGUCUUAACGAGCCACGGCGGCGGAGUGAAGGAGGUUUUCGGAUCGUAAAACUCUGUUGUUAGAGAAGCGGUAACUAAACAGAAAGGGACGGCUAACUACGUGCCAGCAGCCGCGGUAAUUC